CGAUGAUCGCAUACUAAGCCGUCAGUCUCUUCAUUCGACGUGCCUCAGAGGGAUCUGCUGUCAAGAUUUUGUUAGUCAAGAAUUCAACAAACGAGUCAAUCCAGCUUGAUUCGUGAUCGACCUGGACUGGAUGCACUUCUUCUCUGGAGUCAAUACUUAAAUUUUCAAGAUGCUCAAUGAAGAUUCUCUCCAACUCACCGUGGCC
Molecule: long non-coding RNA, 205 nt
Filed under: Elaeis guineensis (African oil palm)
Lineage: Eukaryota; Viridiplantae; Streptophyta; Magnoliopsida; Arecales; Arecaceae
Description: long non-coding RNA (EGUI_LNC027300)
Source: RNAcentral